GUCCUUGUAGUAUAACUAUUACCUUGGUCUUGUAAACCAAAAAUGAAGCAUAAACCCUUCCUAGGACA
This 68-nucleotide transfer RNA is filed under the name Ochotona curzoniae (black-lipped pika). RNAcentral describes it as "tRNA-Thr". It matches the Rfam family "tRNA". From Rfam's summary of the family: Transfer RNA (tRNA) molecules are approximately 80 nucleotides in length. Their secondary structure includes four short double-helical elements and three loops (D, anti-codon, and T loops). The record is from RNAcentral. RNAcentral also lists the same sequence under 1 other name. Lineage: Eukaryota; Metazoa; Chordata; Mammalia; Lagomorpha; Ochotonidae.